This 253-nucleotide ribosomal RNA is filed under the name uncultured bacterium. RNAcentral's name for it is "partial 16S ribosomal RNA". It matches the Rfam family "Bacterial small subunit ribosomal RNA", at positions 524 to 776 of the family's 1533-position model. The record is from RNAcentral.
UACGUAGGGACCGAGCGUUGUCCGGAUUCAUUGGGCGUAAAGAGCUCGUAGGCGGCUGCUCAAGUCGAAUGUGAAAACUCGAGGCUCAACCUCGAGCCUGCAUUCGAUACUGGGCGGCUAGAGUCUGGUAGGGGGAUCUGGAAUUCCUGGUGUAGCGGUGGAAUGCGCAGAUAUCAGGAGGAACACCGGUGGCGAAGGCGGUUCUCUGGGCCUGACCUGACGCUGAGGAGCGAAAGCGUGGGGAGCGAACAGG